Molecule: ribosomal RNA, 637 nt
Filed under: uncultured bacterium
Lineage: Bacteria
Description: bacterial SSU rRNA
Rfam family: Bacterial small subunit ribosomal RNA
Source: RNAcentral
GCUCAACCGAGGAAGUGCUUCGAAAACUGGUAAACUUGAGUGCAGAAGAGGAAAGUGGAACUCCAUGUGUAGCGGUGGAAUGCGUAGAUAUAUGGAAGAACACCAGUGGCGAAGGCGGCUUUCUGGUCUGUAACUGACGCUGAGAUUCGAAAGCAUGGGUAGCAAACAGGAUUAGAUACCCUGGUAGUCCAUGCCGUAAACGAUGAGUGCUAAGUGUUGGAGGGUUUCCGCCCUUCAGUGCUGCAGCUAACGCAUUAAGCACUCCGCCUGGGGAGUACGAUCGCAAGAUUGAAACUCAAAGGAAUUGACGGGGGCCCGCACAAGCGGUGGAGCAUGUGGUUUAAUUCGAAGCAACGCGAAGAACCUUACCAGGUCUUGACAUACCAUGAAAAGCUAAGAGAUAAGUCUUUCCCUUCGGGGACAUGGAUACAGGUGGUGCAUGGUUGUCGUCAGCUCGUGUCGUGAGAUGUUGGGUUAAGUCCCGCAACGAGCGCAACCCUUAUUAUCAGUUGCCAGCAUUCAUUUGGGCACUCUGGUGAGACUGCCGGUGAUAAACCGGAGGAAGGUGGGGACGACGUCAAAUCAUCAUGCCCCUUAUGACCUGGGCUACACACGUGCUACAAUGGUCGGUACAACG